GAUGAACGCUGGCGGCGUGCCUAAUACAUGCAAGUCGAGCGAACGGACGAGAAGCUUGCUUCUCUGAUGUUAGCGGCGGACGGGUGAGUAACACGUGGAUAACCUACCUAUAAGACUGGGAUAACUUCGGGAAACCGGAGCUAAUACCGGAUAAUAUUUUGAACCGCAUGGUUCAAAAGUGAAAGAAGGUCUUGCUGUCGCUUAUAGAUGGAUCCGCGCUGCAUGAGCUAGUUGGUAAGGUAACGGCUUACCAAGGCAACGAUGCAUAGCCGACGUGAGAGGGUGUGCGGGCACACUGGGACUGAGAGACGGCACAGACUCCGACGGGAGGCAGCAGUAGGGAAUCUUGCGAGAUGGGCGAAAGCUUGACGGAGCAACGCCGCGUGAGUGAUGAAGGUCUUCGGAUCGGAAAACUCUGUUAUUAGGGAAGAACAUUUGUGUAAGUAACUGUGCACAUCUUGACGGUACCUAAUCAGAAAGCCACGGCUAACUACGUG
RNAcentral lists this ribosomal RNA (497 nucleotides) under uncultured bacterium. RNAcentral's name for it is "partial 16S ribosomal RNA". It matches the Rfam family "Bacterial small subunit ribosomal RNA", at positions 28 to 507 of the family's 1533-position model. The record is from RNAcentral.